GAUGAACGCUGGCGGCGUGCCUAAUACAUGCAAGUCGAGCGAACGGAUAAGGAGCUUGCUCCUUUGAAGUUAGCGGCGGACGGGUGAGUAACACGUGGGUAACCUACCUAUAAGACUGGAAUAACUUCGGGAAACCGGAGCUAAUGCCGGAUAACAUUUGGAACUGCAUGGUUCUAAAGUAAAAGAUGGUUUUGCUAUCACUUAUAGAUGGACCCGCGCCGUAUUAGCUAGUUGGUAAGGUAACGGCUUACCAAGGCAACGAUACGUAGCCGACCUGAGAGGGUGAUCGGCCACACUGGAACUGAGACACGGUCCAGACUCCUACGGGAGGCAGCAGUAGGGAAUCUUCCGCAAUGGACGAAAGUCUGACGGAGCAACGCCGCGUGAGUGAUGAAGGUUUUCGGAUCGUAAAACUCUGUUAUUAGGGAAGAACAAAUGUGUAAGUAACUGUGCACAUCUUGACGGUACCUAAUCAGAAAGCCACGGCUAACUACGUGCCAGCAGCCGCCGCGG
This 513-nucleotide ribosomal RNA is filed under the name uncultured bacterium. RNAcentral describes it as "partial 16S ribosomal RNA". It matches the Rfam family "Bacterial small subunit ribosomal RNA", at positions 28 to 523 of the family's 1533-position model. The record is from RNAcentral.